RNAcentral lists this long non-coding RNA (632 nucleotides) under Mytilus galloprovincialis (Mediterranean mussel). Lineage: Eukaryota; Metazoa; Mollusca; Bivalvia; Mytilida; Mytilidae. The record is from RNAcentral.
UGGGACAAUUUAGUGAACGUUUGUAUGUAACAACUACUGCUCACUAUGUACUUUUUAAAGACACCUAAACUAUGGGGUCACCAAAGUUCUCAACACCUUAAUAAAGUAAUUCGAAAAACUAAUCAGAAAUAACACGAUGUUUUGAUUUAUAUCAAUUAUAUAAAUCAAAACAUAAAGGUUAUUCCUGAUUAAUUUUUUGAAUUAUUUUAUAAUUAAAGGCGUUAAGAAACCUUUGGUGACCCCACAGUUUAAAUGUCUAUCGUAGGUACGUCGUGAACAGUGGUCGUUACAGACAAACGUUCACGUAAAUUGUCCCAGUCAAUGGAUGAAUUUAAUGUGUCAAUCAAUGGCCACAGCCACACUGUUUUGAAUUUCAUUCUAUUUAAUGCAUUUUACUUAGCUGACAUAUUUAAUUUUACUUUGCAUGUUUUAUGUUCAUUAAAUAGUGAUACGUCACAAGUUACUUGCACGUAUAUCAUAGAGUCAUAUAAAUAAGAAGACGUGAGACCUGUAUGAUUGUCAAUGAGACAACUCUCCACAAAAGACCAAAUGACACAAAAAUUAACAGCUAUAGGACAACAAUGAGCAAAGCCCAUACCACAAAGUCAGCUAUAAAAGAAAUCUGAAUCGGG